AGUUGGUGAUGAGCGGUGGUGGAUCUGAAACGCCAAGUAUUUAUAGUUUAAAGGUUUCAGAUGUCACGGAAUUGACAUUAACAUCAGUUAUACUUAUAUUAUAUUAACAUCAGUUAUAUUACAUUUAAAUUUCAGUGGUUAAGUGUUUGUUAAUUUUUGAGUCGAAAGUGCCUCUGAAAGAGAAUUAAGACAUCAGGUCCUUUGGAGCAAAGAACUGAAGUACGGAAAACUCCCCACCAGAUUUUGGCAAAAACAUUGCCCUCCUUGAUGUCGGGUUGUUCCGUCCAAACUCAUGCUCUUCACCCAAACAGAACAAGUUACAGGAAAUAUGAUACUGUCAGACCAUGUGGAAUACAAUUAUUUUUUAAAGUUACUCACUCCUGGCUGAAGCAUCAACAACUUGUCACCAUCGCUUUUUCAUUUCGACUUUGCUAUCUGCCUUGUUUCCUUCAUUGAUUAUAAUCAGACUGUAAAUAGAGCAGGGUUAUUUAUAAUUCCAUUUCAUCUCUUGUUUUUUUGUGCUUGUGAAACAUUUAUACCUUGGCUGCUGUAAUAUUGUGCAUGGCUAGGUGGUCCCUCCUAUCUUUUCAUGGAUGCCUGACCCUCCAGUUGUCGGCACGGGAAAGAUGCUGCUGCCGUCAGCGAAAUGCUGCUUUGACGUUUUACCUGGCAGGGAUGGCUGUCACGUUUCUUCACUCCUCAGCCCCGGUUAAUGUUGUACAGAUGCGGCCAAUCCUUAGCCAUGAGCCAAUAGGAUUAUUAUGUAUUUAGCUGACACAUUUGAAUUAUGUAUUUAUGUAUUCAUGAACCUUAUUCCGUUAUGUCCUCUAAAUAAAACGUCAUGCUCUUUGGCAUAGAUGAAACAAGUUGUUCCAAAUAAAUUACCAGAAAUGCAAAUGUAAAUUAACACUGAAAUUGCUUGAGAGCUUGUUUCAAGCAUGAAAUUAUUUACUUUUCUUACAGCUGAAUGGAUGAUUUUGUCACACUUUUAUCCAUUCACCUUGUUUUUGUGCUGGCU
Molecule: long non-coding RNA, 1018 nt
Organism: Xiphias gladius (swordfish)
Lineage: Eukaryota; Metazoa; Chordata; Actinopteri; Istiophoriformes; Xiphiidae
Exons: 3
Source: RefSeq, a predicted model, not a curated record